CUUGAAUGUAAACCUUAAAUAGUGUGCAGAUAAAAUAUUGAGUUCAUUUUUUGAAUUUUCUUGAGUUAAUGUACUAAUUUCUCUCUAUCUUUCUAUGCAGAAUUAUAAAUAUGCAUCAUCUUCAUUUAUGUUGAAUAUUUUUCCUUGUAUCCCUUUGAUUCAUUAAAGAUGGAUAUGCAAUAUAAUCACAACAAAUUCUCUCUAUGUUGCACUACCUUGGAGACCAGACUACUAAGACAAACCCAUUACCACAUGUAAGAAUGUCUGGUUUUUUUUUCCACGUUCCAGAAUUUGGAUCCCAUCAGAAAAUCUCCAGGUAAGGCGCACAUGAGCAGAAAAUCCUAUAUAGUGCUUUUCUAUAGAACAUCCA
Molecule: long non-coding RNA, 370 nt
Filed under: Cricetulus griseus (Chinese hamster)
Lineage: Eukaryota; Metazoa; Chordata; Mammalia; Rodentia; Cricetidae
Description: lncRNA (ENSCGRG00000024164.1)
Source: RNAcentral